GUAGGUGAACCUGCGGAAGGAUCAUUACCGAGUGAGGGCCCUCUGGGUCCAACCUCCCACCCGUGUUUAACGAACCUUGUUGCUUCGGCGGGCCCGCCUCACGGCCGCCGGGGGGCAUCCGCCCCCGGGCCCGCGCCCGCCGAAGACACCUGUGAACACUGUCUGAAGUUGCAGUCUGAGAAACUAGCUAAAUUAGUUAAAACUUUCAACAACGGAUCUCUUGGUUCCGGCAUCGAUGAAGAACGCAGCA
RNAcentral lists this unclassified non-coding RNA (250 nucleotides) under plant metagenome. RNAcentral's name for it is "partial contains small subunit ribosomal RNA, internal transcribed spacer 1, and 5.8S ribosomal RNA". The stretch from base 201 to 250 matches the Rfam family "5.8S ribosomal RNA", at positions 1 to 50 of the family's 154-position model. The record is from RNAcentral.